This 377-nucleotide ribosomal RNA is filed under the name uncultured bacterium. Its description in RNAcentral is "bacterial SSU rRNA". It matches the Rfam family "Bacterial small subunit ribosomal RNA", at positions 521 to 896 of the family's 1533-position model. The record is from RNAcentral.
UAAUACGUAGGGGGCUAGCGUUGUCCGGAAUCAUUGGGCGUAAAGCGCGCGUAGGCGGCCCGGUAAGUCCGCUGUAAAAGUCCAGGGCUCAACCCUGGAAAGCCGGUGGAUACUGUCGGGCUCGAGUCCGGAAGAGGCGAGUGGAAUUCCUGGUGUAGCGGUGGAAUGCGCAGAUAUCAGGAGGAACACCAAUAGCGAAGGCAGCUCGCUGGGACGGUACUGACGCUGAGGCGCGAAAGCGUGGGGAGCGAACAGGAUUAGAUACCCUGGUAGUCCACGCCGUAAACGAUGGGCACUAGGUGUGGGAGGUGUCGACUCCUCCCGUGCCGGCGCUAACGCAUUAAGUGCCCCGCCUGGGGAGUACGGCCGCAAGGCUA